CUGGUUUUGAGGAAGUGAGCUGCCAUGUACUAGGCCACGUGGCAAGGGCCUGGUUGGGGACCUCCAGGGGUUGAGAGCAUCCUCUGGACAACAUGGAAAAAGAAAAUGAAAAUGGUGACCUCAGCCCUAUAGCUAGAAGGAAUUGAAUCCUGUCAACAACGAUCUAUAGUUAAAAUACAUAGGGAAGGGCUUCAAGAUGGCUGACUAAAGGCACCUAGCACUCGCCUCCUCUGGAAAAAAGGACCAAAACAACUCAUCACUCACUGCAGAUGUUACUUUAAGACAUUCUGGAGCAGCGUCAUGUGCAGUCAUGUGAAAGUAUAUUCCAAACCCAGAACCUGAGCACAGAUUGGGACUGAGAAACACUUGUCUAGAUUGUCAGGCAAUCUGUAACAUCAGCAGUGGAUGGAAAGAAGGAGAAAGAUGAGUUUUAUGGACGCUAACCCAUCUAUAUGGCUUUGGAAAAUAAAGUACUGCUGUUUUUUUUUGUAAA
RNAcentral lists this long non-coding RNA (493 nucleotides) under Homo sapiens (human). Its description in RNAcentral is "HSALNT0325497". Lineage: Eukaryota; Metazoa; Chordata; Mammalia; Primates; Hominidae. The record is from RNAcentral.